Molecule: long non-coding RNA, 844 nt
Organism: Frieseomelitta varia
Lineage: Eukaryota; Metazoa; Arthropoda; Insecta; Hymenoptera; Apidae
Exons: 4
Source: RefSeq, a predicted model, not a curated record
CAGUCGCUAUUACGAUACCGCCCUCUUAUGCGCGUAUGCCUACCUGACGUUACGAACGAUUUCAAAAUCACCUCGCGUAACGCGUAACAAUCUCGUUAGUUUGUAUUAUUCGAAAAAAAAGAGCAAUCGAUCCUUUCUUGGGAUUAUCUCGCUCUAGACUAAAGAACAGAGAUUUCGAAACGAGACUUUAAGCUCCCAAACUUAUUUCAUAUUUCACAUAACAUCAAGUAUAAUUAGUGAUUAAGCGAUAUGGAGCCCCAAAUCGAAUGAAACGUUUCAUCCUAAAAUUACGUUGAUCGGUAAAUUGCAGACACGUACUACGAUAAAGAUAUAAAAGGCGGAAUUAUUUAUUUCGAAGACGAUGAGCCGUUUAAUGCACGACAUGGAUAUUAAUGUAUUCAGAUGAAAGUAUCACGAUCACCGAAUUGGACGUUUUGUUAGUUUAAAGCAAAGUUGCGUGAUAAAGACAUCGUAUACUUCGCAAUGGGAACCAAGGUUCGUUUAAAAUUCAUUCGAACAAUCGAUUUUCUUAGUACUUCAUGGUAAACGUUCAAUAAAAUGAUAUUACAUUGAAACACAUUGAAUGAGAAUGAACGCUUCUCUCGAAUUUGGUUGGAAUAGUUAAAGAACAGAAAAUUAAUGGAUUUGAAAAUAAAACAAAUUAUAUACAGAAAUGAGAUGUAACAAAUGAAACGAGAUAUAGUUUGAAAUUAUUGAAGACAAUCGUUUAAACGAUCUUGAAACUACUGUGGUAUUUAAUUAUAUUAACUUGUGUCUUUAAUCUUAAAUACAAAGGUAUACACAAAUGUCUGUAUAAAUAAAAUUCUUAUCAUAUACUUGUAAA